ACGAACGCUGGCGGCGUGCUUAACACAUGCAAGUCGAACGGGAUUUAGUAGACAGAAGCCUCGGUGGAAGAUUACUAAUGAGAGUGGCGAACGGGUGAGUAACGCGUGAGCAACCUGCCUAUGACAGUGGGAUAGCCUCGGGAAACCGGGAUUAAUACCGCAUAAAAUCGUAGAAACACAUGUUUCAACGGUCAAAGAUUUAUCGGUCAUAGAUGGGCUCGCGUCUGAUUAGCUAGUUGGUGAGAUAACAGCCCACCAAGGCGACGAUCAGUAGC
RNAcentral lists this ribosomal RNA (275 nucleotides) under uncultured bacterium. Its description in RNAcentral is "partial 16S ribosomal RNA". It matches the Rfam family "Bacterial small subunit ribosomal RNA", at positions 29 to 287 of the family's 1533-position model. The record is from RNAcentral.